RNAcentral lists this ribosomal RNA (207 nucleotides) under uncultured bacterium. Its description in RNAcentral is "partial 16S ribosomal RNA". It matches the Rfam family "Bacterial small subunit ribosomal RNA", at positions 568 to 774 of the family's 1533-position model. The record is from RNAcentral.
CUCGUAGGCGGUCCGUCGCGUCGGAAGUGAAAACCUGGGGCUCAACUCCAGGCCUGCUUUCGAUACGGGCAGACUUGAGUGCGGUAGGGGAGACUGGAACUCCUGGCGUAGCGGUGGAAUGCGCAGAUAUCAGGAAGAACACCGAUGGCGAAGGCAGGUCUCUGGGCCGUUACUGACGCUGAGGAGCGAAAGCAUGGGGAGCGAACA